UGAAAGCCUGGGGUGCCCCGCGAGGGGAGCCCUUAGGCACAGGUGCUGCAUGGCCGUCGUCAGCUCGUGCCGUGAGGUGUUGGGUUAAGUCCCGCAACGAGCGCAACCCUUAUCAUUAGUUGCUACGCAAGGGCACUCUAAUGAGACUGCCGGUGACAACCGGAGGAAGUGGGGAUGACGUCAAGUCCUCAUGGCCCUUAUGGGUAGGGCUUCACACGUCAUACAAUGGUCGGUACAGAGGGUUGCCAAGCCGCGAGGUGGAGCCAAUCCCAGAAAGCCGAUCGUAGUCCGGAUUGUUCUCUGCAACUCGAGAGCAUGAAGUCGGAAUCGCUAGUAAUCGCGGAUCAGCAUGUCGCGGUGAAUACGUUCCCGGGUCUU
This 378-nucleotide ribosomal RNA is filed under the name uncultured Thiobacillus sp. RNAcentral's name for it is "bacterial SSU rRNA". It matches the Rfam family "Bacterial small subunit ribosomal RNA", at positions 1002 to 1382 of the family's 1533-position model. Lineage: Bacteria; Pseudomonadati; Pseudomonadota; Betaproteobacteria; Nitrosomonadales; Thiobacillaceae. The record is from RNAcentral.